AGCAGCCGCGGUAAUUCCAGCUCCAAUAGCGUAUAUUAAAGUUGUUGCAGUUAAAAAGCUCGUAGUUGAAUUUCGGGAUCAGUACGCUGGUCAUGCCUUUGGUAUGCACUGGUGUCACUGGUUUCUCCCUUCUGAAGAACCGUGAUGUCAUUAAUUUGGUGUCGCGGGGAAUCAGGACUGUUACUUUGAAAAAAUUGAGUGUUUAAAGCAGGCUCACGCUUGAAUCAUUAGCAUGGAAUAAUGAAAUAGGACGUUUGACCCUAUUUUGUUGGUUUCUAGGAUCGACGUAAUGAUUAAUAGGGAUAGUUGGGGGCAUUAGUAUUCAAUUGUCAGAGGUGAAAUUCUUGGAUUUAUUGAAGACUAACUACUGCGAA
RNAcentral lists this ribosomal RNA (374 nucleotides) under uncultured Glomeromycotina. RNAcentral's name for it is "SSU rRNA". It matches the Rfam family "Eukaryotic small subunit ribosomal RNA", at positions 569 to 949 of the family's 1831-position model. Lineage: Eukaryota; Fungi; Glomeromycota. The record is from RNAcentral.